AGUACCGUAACAAACCAAGACGUCUUCAGUCUGUUUUAAACCACUGUAGAUGUACUGGAAUAUGUAGGAGGUACAUAUAUAAGUACGCUUAGUCACUAAAGUAGGCCACAAUUAAAAAUCAACAAUUAAAUUAUUUACGCUAACGAGCACGACUGUAUGCGUCUGAAACUUAUGGAAUCUAUCAAACAAUUGUACAAUGUCAUAGUUUGUAAUUUAAGAUUGCAUUUUUGUCUAUGUUUAUUUUCUGUCUGUGACAAGCCCUUGCUAUAGGGAAAAGCAUACAAAACCAUUUUAUUUACGUUUAAUUGAGAUAAACACUCAAAGUAUUUAAUUACUGUUUCAACAGUGGCAUUUCCUCUUCUCCCAAUUAGUACAACCAGAGUAGUAGUUGGACAGUAACUACUGCUUAAUAUUUUGUCUAAUAUUUGUUUAUAAGUAGCUUCAGGCAUAAUACGAUAGUUUGUUAUCGUCACCUAAAUAUUGAUAUAAUUUGUGACACAUGUUUUGUCCAAUUUCAUCGCUAAACAUUACUAUUUUGUUGCAAUUAUUAUUUUCAUUUUGUAUUAAUCUUAUUGUUUUUUUUGUGUGUCGAAGGAAGUACUUUUUUUACAACCAUUCAAUUUAAUACAAUGAGAGGAUUGAUGAGAAUCAUCAAACCCUGAACAGCCUGGCAGAUCUUGUUCAAAGCCUGGUUUUCGAUUGCGUGUCAAUGAAUUAAACAUUUUCUCAUUCUCACUACACAGAUUCAAAAAGCUGUUCAUUGCCAGUAUGUACUCACCCAUUUCUCUUUGUAAGGUUUCAUAUUUGUAAUUGUCACUAAUGAUUCUUGUAAAUGGAGAAUCCUUGACUGCAGAUGCUCCAUAUCAACCUCAUAUUCUUUUUUACUAUUAUGGAAUUUUAAUUGUAAUUUUUUACAACUGUUAAAUGAUUUGUGGUUUUUGGUGAAAUUAUUUUUGUUACUUUUAAUUAAUUUUUGGGACUUUUUGUUAAAUUUAUUUAUUUUGACAUCUUUUUUAAAUUUGUUUUUGCUGCCAAUGAUUUGCUUGACCAAAGCUAUUGUCAGUUGUCAGUUCAAUAGUCACAAUUUGAGAACUUUUCAAGAGUGAGUCAGCAGACCGCACCGGAGUGGUACCAACCAGUUCCUCAAACAGUGCAUUGGUUUGCUCUGUUUGAAGUUUCUGGCUGGUGCUCUCCAUCCUAAUAAUAGUGUCCUGGGCCUCACUCAACCUACACUUCAGUUCAGCGUUGUGUUUGAGAGUUGUGUCAAUCUCAUCGCUGCACCGGUCAAACUGGUCAACAAUGUGUUGUAGCUUAUCCCGUUAUUCUGUGAUGUUUACUAAUUGACAGUCCAGUUCUGCCAUCUCAUUCUUUAGUUUACUAUUAUUGUUUAAAAUAUUAAGUACUUCCUUCUCAUUGUCAUCCUGUUCCCUCUGUAGAACCCCACACAAAUUCUUAUAUUUCUUAAGUUCCACUAGUGUUUGUUGAAGUUUAACUUCCUCCAAACGUGCAGUGGCUUUCCUGGUCAUUAUUCUUUCCAUUUUGCACAAAAAAAACAAUAACUCAGGUAGAUGUUUAUGAAAGUGUUUAAGUUUGUGUGAGAAACUAUUUUCUAGGCACUAUUAGGCUGCGUUUCCACCAGAGAUGUGCGAGGAUGCAUAGCGAGGGAUGUGUUUGUAAAGAACCAAUAGGAUCGCUUCAUUUACCUUGCCUCGGUCAGCACAGCUCUGGUGGAAACGGCUCAGCGGAGCUAGAUUUUUGCGCAUACAAAACAAGCGCGGGAUGUGUGCGAGGGAUGUGUACGAGGGAAGUGUGCGAGGAAUGUGUGUUGAGAAAGAUGUGUUGCGAGGUUUGCGCAUACUGUACCAGCCAGUCCAUAGACGGAGUUUGUUGGAAGUAGAAGUGCGCAAAAUAGAUAAUAAUAUGGAUAAUUGGAAAAAGAAAAUACUUUUAUAUUUAACAAUUUGUGAUGAAGAAAUGGAAGCAGAAGAUACGGAGUUUAUUAGUUCUAUAAUUUUGAGCAAUACAAGAACACACAGGUUUUGGAUACGUAACCAUAUUAAAUAUCAUCGAUUACAUGGAGAAUUCUUUACCUUUUUUCAUACGGCUGAUGAUGAAAUAUUCGAAAAUUCUUAUCGAGUAUCUAGAAGUAACUUUUAUGAGUUACACAAUUUGAUUGAGAACAUUAUCAAGAAAGAAGACACUCACUACAGAGAAUGCAUCAGCACCAAGGAAAAAUUGGCGGUAUGUUUAAAGUAAGUAAAAUAGUUUGAAUCAAUUUUGUCUUUAUUAAACAUAUUAAUUGAAAAGUAAUCAUAAUCUGCAAAAUAAGUAGACAACAAGUUCCUCUUUUUCAUGGCAAAUUAGGCUCUGUUCCUACUUUGUUUGAAGUAUUUGGCGUUUGUAGGUCUGAAUGUUGUGUUCCCGGAGAUGCUGGUUGUACAGCUUCCAGUUGGAAAGAUGAAUCCAUCUGGCCCACUGUUUUAUUUGUAUUUCUACCAGAGCUUGAAGAAUAACCAAGUUGUUCAGGAUCCAGCUGAGGCGGCAAAUCCAUCUGGCCUGCUAUAUUACUACCUACUGCUAUACUGCUAUCAGAGCUUGAAGAAUAACCAAUAUUUUGAUUAUACCACGACAGCACGUAAGAUUCUUCGGCUUCGCUAAUCAUAUUAAAAAGUUUCCUUUUUAAAGGAACUUGCAUGUAAUCUGGUAAUUUUUUAAAUGUUUUCGCCAUUGAAAGAAAAAAAUGAUCAGUAUCAUCGCAGUCCGUUGGUUUUAAAAGUUCUCUUAAUUCUUGCCUUUCUUUUCGAAAAUCUUCUUGAUUUUUCAUAUGUUUUUGUAUUAAAAUUGAUAAUUCAUCGCCUUUUUUCUUCUUUGAUGAUGACGGGGUGACCGAAUCUGUUGAAAUGCCUGAAGUUGAGGCUAUUUCGUAAAGAUUGUUGGGAUUGUCAGCUUGAUUUGGUGUAUGUUCAGUGCUCUGCGAAGAGUCAUCUUGGUUUAAUGAAUAUUGAGUGCUUUGCGAAGAGUCAUUUUCAUUAUUUGGUGACGAAAUAUCCUCUUUAUAACUUGACUCUCUAUCUCUGUUGGCCAUGUACGGUAAAAGAAAUUCCAUCAAUUUUUGGUAUUUCCAUUCACGUGUUUUGGUUGUAGCCUGUCCGCUUUUUUUAGAUUUCUGCCUCUUUAGCGCGUCCCGAUGGCUAUCCCGUAGUUGUUUCCAACGAUACUUAGCGCUUUUCACUGAAAUAAUAGAAAAUUAUGAUUAGGAAUAUAACAUUUUUAUACCAAGCAUGUUGUCUUACAGAUCGCAAAAAAUCAGUAACAGGUAUUUAUCCACGGGCUCGUCGUUCACACGAUUGGCAGAAAAUUUUAGGAUUGGAGUAGCAAGUGUGUCGAGAAUUGUGGCAGAAGUUUGUAAUGCUCUUUGGCUUGUUUUACAACCUCUUGUUAUUCCAAAACCUACCAAAGACGACUGGAAGCGAAUAGCAAAGGAUUUUCAAGAGCUAUGGCAGUUUAAAAAUUGUUUGGGGGCUCUAGACGAACCUGAACCAUUAUAUGAAGGAGGUGAACCAGUACCAUUUGUAUUCAUUGGAGAUGAGGCUUUUCCUUUGAUGGAAAAUUUCAUGCGCCCAUAUCCGCGGGACCAGUUAGACCAACAGAAACGUAUAUUUAACUAUAGACUUUCGAGGGCACGUCGCAUUGUAGAAGCUACAUUCGGUGUAUUGGCACGAAAGUGGUAUGUGUAUCGUAAAGACUUUGAAUGCAGAGUGGAAACGGUUGACAAAAUCGUAAAAGCCACAUGUGUAAUGCAUAAUUUUUUAAUUGAAAGACAAAGUAAUUAUUUGGAUUGCAUUGAUAACACAAAUACAAGUACUCUUGUAUCGGUUCCUAGCAUUUCCGUCGUCGUGUCAAGUGAUAGUUAUGAUGUAAGAGAGAAAUACUGCUCUUAUUUCAAUAAUCAAGGAAAAGUGUCAUGGCAAGAUACUCGUAUUUCGUCACGAAUUCAUCGCACACAAUAAAUACCCAAAUAUUGUAACUUGUAUUUUAAUAUACCUGAUUUUAAUACAUGAUUAUUACUUACCAUCUUUA
Molecule: RNA transcript, 4080 nt
Organism: Helicoverpa armigera (cotton bollworm)
Lineage: Eukaryota; Metazoa; Arthropoda; Insecta; Lepidoptera; Noctuidae
Exons: 3
Source: RefSeq, a predicted model, not a curated record